This 465-nucleotide ribosomal RNA is filed under the name Vreelandella stevensii. Its description in RNAcentral is "partial 16S ribosomal RNA". It matches the Rfam family "Bacterial small subunit ribosomal RNA", at positions 338 to 795 of the family's 1533-position model. The record is from RNAcentral. Lineage: Bacteria; Pseudomonadati; Pseudomonadota; Gammaproteobacteria; Oceanospirillales; Halomonadaceae.
CCUACGGGCGGCAGCAGUGGGGAAUAUUGGACAAUGGGGGCAACCCUGAUCCAGCCAUGCCGCGUGUGUGAAGAAGGCCCUCGGGUUGUAAAGCACUUUCAGUGAGGAAGAACGCCUGGUGGUUAAUACCCAUCAGGAAAGACAUCACUCACAGAAGAAGCACCGGCUAACUCCGUGCCAGCAGCCGCGGUAAUACGGAGGGUGCGAGCGUUAAUCGGAAUUACUGGGCGUAAAGCGCGCGUAGGUGGCUUGAUAAGCCGGUUGUGAAAGCCCCGGGCUCAACCUGGGAACGGCAUCCGGAACUGUCAAGCUAGAGUGCAGGAGAGGAAGGUAGAAUUCCCGGUGUAGCGGUGAAAUGCGUAGAGAUCGGGAGGAAUACCAGUGGCGAAGGCGGCCUUCUGGACUGACACUGACACUGAGGUGCGAAAGCGUGGGUAGCAAACAGGAUUAGAUACCCGGGUAGUC